CAGUAGCCGCGGGAAUACGGAGGGUGCAAGCGUUAAUCGGAAUUACUGGGCGUAAAGCGCACGCAGGCGGUCUGACAAGUCAGAUGUGAAAUCCCCGGGCUUAACCUGGGAACUGCAUUUGAAACUGUCAGGCUGGAGUCUUGUAGAGGGGGGUGGAAUUCCAGGUGUAGCGGUGAAAUGCGUAGAGAUCUGGAGGAAUACCGGUGGCGAAGGCGGCCCCCUGGACAAAGACUGACGCUCAGGUGCGAAAGCGUGGGGAGCAAACAGGAUUAGAUACCCGGGUAUCCCUGUCUCUUAUACA
RNAcentral lists this ribosomal RNA (301 nucleotides) under uncultured bacterium. Its description in RNAcentral is "partial 16S ribosomal RNA". It matches the Rfam family "Bacterial small subunit ribosomal RNA", at positions 509 to 809 of the family's 1533-position model. The record is from RNAcentral.